UUACGGAAGGCAGCAGUGGGGAAUAUUGCGCAAUGGGGGCAACCCUGACGCAGCCAUGCCGCGUGUGUGAAGAAGGCCUUCGGGUUGUAAAGCACUUUAAGUGGGGAGAAAGGCUCGUUGGUUAAUAGCCAGCGGGAUUGAUGUUACCCACAGAAUAAGCACCGGCUAACUCCGUGCCAGCAGCCGCGGUAAUACGGAGGGUGCGAGCGUUAAUCGGAAUUACUGGGCGUAAAGCGCGCGUAGGCGGUUUGUUAAGUCAGCUGUGAAAGCCCCGGGCUCAACCUGGGAACUGCAGUUGAUACCGACCGACUAGAGUACGAGAGAGGGAGGUAGAAUUCCAUGUGUAGCGGUGAAAUGCGUAGAUAUAUGGAGGAAUACCGGUGGCGAAGGCGGCCUCCUGGCUCGAUACUGACGCUGAGGUGCGAAAGCGUGGGGAUCAAACAGGAUUAGAUACCCCCGUAGUCCC
Molecule: ribosomal RNA, 466 nt
Filed under: uncultured bacterium
Lineage: Bacteria
Description: bacterial SSU rRNA
Rfam family: Bacterial small subunit ribosomal RNA
Source: RNAcentral